Molecule: ribosomal RNA, 460 nt
Filed under: uncultured bacterium
Lineage: Bacteria
Description: partial 16S ribosomal RNA
Rfam family: Bacterial small subunit ribosomal RNA
Source: RNAcentral
CCUACGGGUGGCAGCAGUGAGGAAUAUUGGUCAAUGGACGAGAGUCUGAACCAGCCAAGUAGCGUGAAGGAUGUCUGCCCUAUGGGUUGUAAACUUCUUUUAUAUGGGAAUAAAAUGUUCCACGUGUGGGAUUUUGUAUGUACCAUAUGAAUAAGGAUCGGCUAACUCCGUGCCAGCAGCCGCGGUAAUACGGAGGAUCCGAGCGUUAUCCGGAUUUAUUGGGUUUAAAGGGAGCGUAGGUGGAUUGUUAAGUCAGUUGUGAAAGUUUGCGGCUCAACCGUAAAAUUGCAGUUGAAACUGGCAGUCUUGAGUACAGUAGAGGUGGGCGGAAUUCGUGGUGUAGCGGUGAAAUGCUUAGAUAUCACGAAGAACUCCGAUUGCGAAGGCAGUUCACUGGACUGCAACUGACACUGAGGCUCGAAAGUGUGGGUAUCAAACAGGAGUAGAUACCCUGGUAGUC